Molecule: unclassified non-coding RNA, 388 nt
Filed under: uncultured fungus
Lineage: Eukaryota; Fungi
Description: sequence contains ITS1
Rfam family: 5.8S ribosomal RNA (bases 1-103)
Source: RNAcentral
AAACUGCGAUAAGUAGUGUGAAUUGCAGACGCUUUGAGCGUUAAACUUGAACGCACAUUGCGCCCUAAGAGUGCUAUCCUGCGGCACAUCUGGUUGAGGGUCGUGAUCAAAAACAGCAGGACUAUGGCUGUAAUAGAAAUAGCUGGUGAAUCACGAGUUCGGCCUACCGCCUCUAGCUGAAAGUGUUUUGCCAUAAUGCAGAGGACAAUCGCUCGCACGAGAGAUUGCCUACCACACGGAUGAUCUAUUAGCUAAAGCAAUAGGUCUCGGUCACCGGGUAUCAUGCUUAUAUACUCUGAGAUACGGCUAGUGGGCUUCAUAAGUACCUGGUAUCGAGAGUAUUCGCUCUCCCAACCUCAACUCAGGUGUGAUUACCUACUGAACUUAA